GAUGAACGCUAGCGGGAGGCUUAACACAUGCAAGUCGAGGGGUAAGAUGGGUAGUAAUACUCGUCCAAGACCGGCGCACGGGUGAGUAACGCGUAUGCAACCUGCCCUUUACAGGGGGAUAGCCCGGAGAAAUCCGGAUUAAUACCCCAUAGGCCUAUAACCUCGCAUGGGGAAUUAGGUAAAGCUGAGGCGGUAAAGGAUGGGCAUGCGUGACAUUAGCUUGUUGGCGGGUAACGCCACAAGGCUGCGAUGUCUAGGGGUUCUGAGAGGAAGGUCCCCCACACUGGUACUGAGACACGGACCAGACUCCUACGGGUGGCAG
This 322-nucleotide ribosomal RNA is filed under the name uncultured Bacteroidota bacterium. Its description in RNAcentral is "bacterial SSU rRNA". It matches the Rfam family "Bacterial small subunit ribosomal RNA", at positions 28 to 351 of the family's 1533-position model. The record is from RNAcentral. Lineage: Bacteria; Pseudomonadati; Bacteroidota.